GAGACUCUGUGCGCGUGCAUAUCAAUAAGCGGAGGAAAAGAAACUAACAAGGAUUCCCUUAGUAACGGCGAGUGAAGCGGGAAGAGCUCAAAUUUGAAAUCUUCAAGGUUCUACCUUGACGAAUUGUAGUUUAUAAGAAGUGUUUUCUGUUGAAGUAUAGUGGCUAAAAGUUCUUUGGAAUAGGACAUCAUAGAGGGUGAGAAUCCCGUAUUUGGAUCAUUCUUUCUAGCUGUGUGAUACACUUUCAACGAGUCGGAUUGUUUGGGAAUGCAGUCCAAAAUGGGUGGUAAAUUUCAUCUAAAGCUAAAUAUUGGCGAGAGACCGAUAGCGAACAAGUACCGUGAGGGAAAGAUGAAAAGAACUUUGAAAAGAGAGUUAAACAGUACGUGAAAUUGUCAAAAGGGAAGCGUUUGACACCAGUGUUGUUUUCUCGAAAAUCAAUUAAAAAUGGCCGGAUUUUGUGUUGUAUUGACUUUAAUCAAGCUUUCUUCACUUUUCUCUUGUCUUUUUUAAUGCACUUUCCGUUUAACAAGUCAACAUCAGUUUCUUUUGUUGUAAAAGGAGUCAUUGGAAGGUGGCUUUCAUUUCGGAUGAAAGUGUUUAUAGCCUUGUGCCUCUGCAAUCGGAGAGAUUGAGGUCUGCAGCGUAGAUCCUUCGGGGUUAGAUACAUUUGUGCUAAGUUAUAGCUUUUCAUAGACAACUUGUUGACUAUGUUUAGUCUUGUAGCUUACUCGCUGACGCUAUUUUACCUACGCUUAGGAUGUUGACAGCAGUAUAGACUGU
RNAcentral lists this ribosomal RNA (783 nucleotides) under uncultured Neocallimastigales. RNAcentral describes it as "partial large subunit ribosomal RNA". It matches the Rfam family "Eukaryotic large subunit ribosomal RNA", at positions 23 to 633 of the family's 3401-position model. The record is from RNAcentral. Lineage: Eukaryota; Fungi; Neocallimastigomycota; Neocallimastigomycetes; Neocallimastigales.